RNAcentral lists this unclassified non-coding RNA (263 nucleotides) under plant metagenome. RNAcentral's name for it is "partial contains small subunit ribosomal RNA, internal transcribed spacer 1, and 5.8S ribosomal RNA". The record is from RNAcentral.
UUUCCGUAGGUGAACCUGCGGAAGGAUCAUUAUUGUAUAACCGAGGUGCGAGGGCUGUCGCUGACCCGAAAGGUCGUGCACGCCCGAGUGCUCUCACACACAUCCAUCUCACCCCUAUGUGCACCACCGCGUGGGUCCCCCUUUGGCUUGUUCGGAGGGGGGCUUACGUUUUCACACAAACUUUGUAUGCAGUGUAGAAUGUAUUUUUUGUUUUUGCGAUCACGCAAUCAAUACAACUUUCAACAACGGAUCUCUUGGCUCUC